This 388-nucleotide long non-coding RNA is filed under the name Musa acuminata (dwarf banana). RNAcentral describes it as "long non-coding RNA (MACU_LNC008705)". The record is from RNAcentral. Lineage: Eukaryota; Viridiplantae; Streptophyta; Magnoliopsida; Zingiberales; Musaceae.
UCAAUAUAUGGACUUCUAUCUUAAUAUGCUCCCACUAUUUUACUAACGAGUCACGCGACACCCUCAGCACGUGAAACGGAAGUCUCCGGCAGACUUCUAGUGGGGAUCAGGAUCCAAUCAGUGUCUUAGUGUAACCUCGAGGGACUCGACCAAUCACACUAAACCUAAAAGGUAGGCAACUCUUGCCGAUCACAACUCCUUGUGAUUCCCGUCCUGUUCGGCCUCCGAAUCACCAUGGCCUCGAGGGACUCGACCAACCAUGAUGCUCGGUUAAGUCAACACCUUCGUUACAAGAUGAGUCUGAUUUGAUGAUAUACCCUCGAGGGACUCGACCAAGUAUACCAUGCCCUCAGGUCACCGGUGACAUCUCUAUGUCGUAAGCAAGAUA